UGGCGGACGGGUGAGUAACGCGUGGGUAACCUGCCUCAUACAGGGGGAUAACAGUUAGAAAUGACUGCUAAUACCGCAUAAGACCACAACACCGCAUGGUGCAGGGGCAAAAACUCCGGUGGUAUGAGAUGGACCCGCGUCUGAUUAGGUAGUUGGUGGGGUAACGGCCUACCAAGCCGACGAUCAGUAGCCGACCUGAGAGGGUGACCGGCCACAUUGGGACUGAGACACGGCCCAA
This 238-nucleotide ribosomal RNA is filed under the name uncultured bacterium. RNAcentral describes it as "partial 16S ribosomal RNA". It matches the Rfam family "Bacterial small subunit ribosomal RNA", at positions 96 to 334 of the family's 1533-position model. The record is from RNAcentral.